RNAcentral lists this ribosomal RNA (253 nucleotides) under uncultured bacterium. RNAcentral describes it as "partial 16S ribosomal RNA". It matches the Rfam family "Bacterial small subunit ribosomal RNA", at positions 524 to 776 of the family's 1533-position model. The record is from RNAcentral.
GACAGAGGUGCCAAGCGUUAGGCGGAAUCACUGGGCUUAAAGCGCGCGUAGGCGGCUCGGAAAGUCGGGCGUGAAAUGCCGGGGCUCAACCCCGGGACUGCGUCCGAUACUUCCGAGCUGGAGGUAGGUAGGGGAGAUCGGAAUUCCUGGUGUAGCGGUGAAAUGCGCAGAUAUCAGGAGGAACACCGGUGGCGAAGGCGGAUCUCUGGGCCUUACCUGACGCUGAGGCGCGAAAGCUAGGGGAGCGAACAGG